Molecule: ribosomal RNA, 770 nt
Filed under: Escherichia coli
Lineage: Bacteria; Pseudomonadati; Pseudomonadota; Gammaproteobacteria; Enterobacterales; Enterobacteriaceae
Also listed under: 1 other name
Description: partial 23S ribosomal RNA
Rfam family: Bacterial large subunit ribosomal RNA
Source: RNAcentral
GGGACACGUGGUAUCCUGUCUGAAUAUGGGGGGACCAUCCUCCAAGGCUAAAUACUCCUGACUGACCGAUAGUGAACCAGUACCGUGAGGGAAAGGCGAAAAGAACCCCGGCGAGGGGAGUGAAAAAGAACCUGAAACCGUGUACGUACAAGCAGUGGGAGCCUCUUUAUGGGGUGACUGCGUACCUUUUGUAUAAUGGGUCAGCGACUUAUAUUCUGUAGCAAGGUUAACCGAAUAGGGGAGCCGAAGGGAAACCGAGUCUUAACUGGGCGUUAAGUUGCAGGGUAUAGACCCGAAACCCGGUGAUCUAGCCAUGGGCAGGUUGAAGGUUGGGUAACACUAACUGGAGGACCGAACCGACUAAUGUUGAAAAAUUAGCGGAUGACUUGUGGCUGGGGGUGAAAGGCCAAUCAAACCGGGAGAUAGCUGGUUCUCCCCGAAAGCUAUUUAGGUAGCGCCUCGUGAAUUCAUCUCCGGGGGUAGAGCACUGUUUCGGCAAGGGGGUCAUCCCGACUUACCAACCCGAUGCAAACUGCGAAUACCGGAGAAUGUUAUCACGGGAGACACACGGCGGGUGCUAACGUCCGUCGUGAAGAGGGAAACAACCCAGACCGCCAGCUAAGGUCCCAAAGUCAUGGUUAAGUGGGAAACGAUGUGGGAAGGCCCAGACAGCCAGGAUGUUGGCUUAGAAGCAGCCAUCAUUUAAAGAAAGCGUAAUAGCUCACUGGUCGAGUCGGCCUGCGCGGAAGAUGUAACGGGGCUAAACCAUG